UGACCGAAAUUAUAAAUAUAUUUAAGCAAAAAAAAGGAUGAACAAAAAACUUCUAUAAUUUAUCUCAAAAGCUUCGGAAACUACAUACAAUAUCCAAAACAAACACAACUAGAAUAAUAAUGGAAUUAACAAACAGAAAGCUGAGGAACCCGAAGCUUGCAUCUUGUCAACGUAUCUUUUCAAAAAAACCUAAGACAUGACCACCUUAAACUCAUUUGUCAUGUCACAAAAGAAGAAGAAUUCCCUUUAAACUUCAAAUAUUAAUAUUUAAUUAGGACCAUGAUCCCUUCUUUCUAAAUAGGAGUAAACAUUUUUGGUAAAUCAAUAAGAAAGAAAGGAAAUAGAAAAGCUUUUUAAAUUUUGUUGGAGCGUAUGGUAAAUGAGGGGAGGAAGCUUCAAUUAUUUAUUCCACUAAAAAUAUGGGAGUUCCAUCGCACGUCAAUCGCCUCUAUCUGGUCAUGUCUGAUCUGAUAGAGGAUGUACUUGUUUUAACUGUUGAAACCUUCUGUUCCUCAGCUUUCUGUCCCAUCCACUAAUAUUCCCAAAAGGAAUGGAGGACUCUCUCUCGUAGGCCCUGCUCCCAAUCAACCAGCACUCCUUUUCCUACUUUUUCCUUUCCUAAUCUCUUCACUGUUCUGCUAAGUCAGAAGACAAGAUUAUGAAAAAGUGAACUUGUACAGUAUGCAGCAAUACUAGGCUAGCUACACCAAAUUAAUGCACAACACAAAAAGGAAAAAAGUGAAAACAUGCAGAGAAUCGGAGAAAAUUUAGAGAGAGAAAGUAGAGAGAAGGAGGAGAGAAUAGAAGAGUCUCGAAGAAGACUCAGUUCCAAAAGGCCCUGCUCCCAAUCAACCAGCACUCCUCCUUUUCCUACCUUUUCCUUUCCUAAUCUCUUCACUGUUCUGCUUAGUCAGAAGACAAGAUUAUGAAAAAGUAAUACUUGUACAGUAUGCAGCAAUACUAGCUACGCCAAAUUAAUGCACAACAGAAAAAGAAAAAAAAGAGGAGGAAAAUUAUAGCCAAGAGAUAUUAAUCCUUUUUUCCUUGGCUCAUGCUCUCACGACCUUUCAAGAAUCUAUAGCACUAGUCAAGAAUAUGUACCAAGUGAGAUUUAGUUUUAUCCUGUGUUUGAUCGAAUCUUCUU
This 1144-nucleotide long non-coding RNA is filed under the name Nicotiana benthamiana. Its description in RNAcentral is "long non-coding RNA (NBEN_LNC014023)". Lineage: Eukaryota; Viridiplantae; Streptophyta; Magnoliopsida; Solanales; Solanaceae. The record is from RNAcentral.